This is a long non-coding RNA of Leptopilina boulardi, 421 nucleotides long. RefSeq lists it as uncharacterized. The transcript is spliced from 2 exons. NCBI's taxonomy places the organism in Eukaryota, Metazoa, Arthropoda, Insecta, Hymenoptera, Figitidae. The record is from RefSeq and is a predicted model, not a curated record.
CAAAAAAUCGCUUUUUUUUUUUGCUUUAAAUAGUUCCUUAGGGUCUCAGAAAUAACAUAUUGCAGGAUUAUGGCUCGGAAAAAUCUCUAAAUAAUUUAUUUUCGAAGUUCCUUGCAAGGCUGCACGGUACGCGGCGAGCUCAUUUUGUCAGUUCUACGGGGGGUGAUCUUUGAAGGAUCUACAGCAGGUAUACGGCAGAUGUUUUCAAAGGCGCUAGUUACUUGCUAGACUAUAGUGGUCAAUUAUAUGGUGCAGGCAUUGCAGAUUAAAGGAGCAGUUAGUUCGGCCACGUACCCCUUGAACCAUAGAGGAGUCGAAGGACGACCGCUACAGCGCCACCAUUCUUCAAGAAAUAUUUAUAAGAAAUUAUUUUUUUACACCUAAAAAGAUGUAUAAUAAACUUCUUAUAUUAUAUUUUUAA